Non-coding RNA from Mycena metata, 87 nucleotides. The record is from the annotation of a GenBank genome assembly. NCBI's taxonomy places the organism in Eukaryota, Fungi, Basidiomycota, Agaricomycetes, Agaricales, Mycenaceae.
GACCCCGUGGCAUGUGCUAUUAUGUAUCCGCUCGACCUUCGUUGGUGUAUCAAGCGGAAGGAACCGGUUCGAUUCCGGCCGGGGUCC